This 375-nucleotide ribosomal RNA is filed under the name uncultured organism. RNAcentral's name for it is "partial 16S ribosomal RNA". It matches the Rfam family "Bacterial small subunit ribosomal RNA", at positions 527 to 896 of the family's 1533-position model. The record is from RNAcentral.
GUAGGUGGCAAGCGUUGUCCGGAAUUAUUGGGCGUAAAGCGCGCGCAGGCGGUCCUUUAAGUCUGAUGUGAAAGCCCACGGCUCAACCGUGGAGGGUCAUUGGAAACUGGGGGACUUGAGUACAGAAGAGGAAAGCGGAAUUCCAAGUGUAGCGGUGAAAUGCGUAGAGAUUUGGAGGAACACCAGUGGCGAAGGCGGCUUUCUGGUCUGUAACUGACGCUGAGGCGCGAAAGCGUGGGGAGCAAACAGGGAUUAGAUACCCUGGUAGUCCACGCCGUAAACGAUGAGUGCUAAGUGCUAGGGGGGUUUUCCGCCCCCCUUAGUGCUGCAGCUAACGCAUUAAGCACUCCGCCUGGGAGUACGGCCGCAAGGCUG